GUGCCAGGCAGCCGCGGUAAUACGUAGGUGGCAAGCGUUGUCCGGAAUUUAUUGGGCGUAAAGGGGCUCGCAGGCGGUUUCUGUAAGUCUGAUGUGAAAGCCCCCGGCUCAACCGGGGAGGGUCAUUGGAAACUGGGGAACUUGAGUGCAGAAGAGGAGAGUGGAAUUCCACGUGUAGCGGUGAAAUGCGUAGAGAUGUGGAGGAACACCAGUGGCGAAGGCGACUCUCUGGUCUGUAACUGACGCUGAGGAGCGAAAGCGUGGGGAGCGAACAGGAUUAGAUACCCUGGUAGUCC
RNAcentral lists this ribosomal RNA (296 nucleotides) under uncultured microorganism. Its description in RNAcentral is "partial 16S ribosomal RNA". It matches the Rfam family "Bacterial small subunit ribosomal RNA", at positions 505 to 796 of the family's 1533-position model. The record is from RNAcentral.